Molecule: long non-coding RNA, 555 nt
Organism: Oreochromis niloticus (Nile tilapia)
Lineage: Eukaryota; Metazoa; Chordata; Actinopteri; Cichliformes; Cichlidae
Exons: 2
Source: RefSeq, a predicted model, not a curated record
GUUGGAAAUGAGUGCUGGACCCACUUGUCACAACAAACCCCUGCAAGAUGGUGCGAUGGAAAGCUGUAAUUUAGAAUCAAAUGAAUUAUCUAUGUCUUCAGUGGUUUUCUGGUGACACAGAGGAUGUUAGACAUGUUCAAACGUCCCACUGAUUCCCCAGAGUACAGCUACCUCUAUUUGCUUCCUGGUGGUGUCUUUGUCGGAGGCUACGCUGCUGCUUUGCAGUCUGGAUACUAAACAGGUGAAAGAGGACAUUUAAGUUGUGUCCAUUAGUUAAAGUGUUUUCAUUUUUUCUCACUGAAGCUAUUUUCUUUUAUCCGUGUGCAUCUGUGUAACACUUUAGGUAUGAUGGGAGUCGCAGGUGGGAUUGCCACCAGAUUCAAAAAGCUUGAGAUCAGGCUCCACAGAGUUCAGAUAGUUCAUUGUUCUCUAGCAAAAUGUUUUGGAAACUAAUGUUUAACCUCUAAAACUCUGACAUGUUUUAGCACACAAGGCUUCAUCGGGGAGUUCACUCAUGAUUGGACCAUGAGAAUAAAGGUUUUUAGUUCUUUCAAA